Long non-coding RNA from Spinacia oleracea (spinach), 1035 nucleotides. RefSeq lists it as uncharacterized. NCBI's taxonomy places the organism in Eukaryota, Viridiplantae, Streptophyta, Magnoliopsida, Caryophyllales, Amaranthaceae. The transcript is spliced from 5 exons. The record is from RefSeq and is a predicted model, not a curated record.
GUCUCGCGCAAAACCCAAUCAAAACCUAAACUGCUCCGUGCUUAGGUUGUCACCUCUUGUUGUCUUCUACUUCUCUCUCCUACUCGAAUCUCUCUUAUUCUCUUAUUCUCUCAUUUCUUCUCUCCCGUCCCCAUUCUCGAUCUCUCGUCCCCAAAUCUCUGUCUCUCUCCUCCUCAUGCGUCGAUAUUUAACGGAUAUGGUGGUGAUAAGGGCGGCGGCGUCGACGAUGAUGAAGGUUCUUGUGCCUCUUUAAUUUCAUGCUUAGGGUUCCGAGUUUUUGGGUUUUUUGGUUGUACGAAUCAAAGAAAAGAGAGUGCGGGUGGGAAUCUAUACUUAGAUGAAAAGAAAAUACAAUAUAUGGCCUAUAAAAGAGGGAAGCGUAUCUAUUGGAUGUGUGGAAGUUUACAUGAGCAAGAGAUUAGAGGAAAACCAAUCAACAAGCUGCUAUUCGACUUCUGGGGUAUAUUGGUGGUACAAGACGGAUAGUCAUGCAACUGAACUAACAACAGGUUCUACAACCUGUGUAACCGUGAUGGUAUGCUGCAAUGAUUUCCAUGUUGAAGAAACAUGGAGCUGCUUUGACCUUCACACCUGCAAAAGUGGAUUUGUUGGAUCAGCUUAAGGAUUCUUCUGAACCACUUUCCGUUCCUGAAGGACUGGCUUGGCAAAAUGGGACUCGUCAUAACUUGGAAUGGAGCAGCCACUAACAACCCAACAUUUGCAGAAAUAAUUAUUGAGAAAUAACGAACAAGAAUAUAUACAUUGGGUCGUUCUUUCGAGAAUAUGCAUUGGAUUGUUCUGUCGGUCGUUGUGAAGGUGAUGAUUCUGGGUGUUGGUCGUGUAGGGGUGUGCCAUAUGUUCUUUUAAAUUCUAAAUAGUUCGUGGGAGUUGUAUGCUCUAACUUUUAUUCGUUUAUUGUAAUUCAUUGUUGUAAGUUUGUUACUUAGUAGAAUUCGGAUGAUUGUAAUUUUAAAGUGUUAAAUGUUAAUAACAAAUGGUAUUUGAAAAUUGGAAAUAAUUUGACUUUUUAUUUAA